Molecule: ribosomal RNA, 500 nt
Filed under: uncultured bacterium
Lineage: Bacteria
Description: partial 16S ribosomal RNA
Rfam family: Bacterial small subunit ribosomal RNA
Source: RNAcentral
AUUGAACGCUGGCGGCAUGCCUUACACAUGCAAGUCGAACGGCAGCACGGGAGCAAUCCUGGUGGCGAGUGGCGAACGGGUGAGUAAAGUAUCGGAACGUGCCCAGUCGUGGGGGAUAACGUAGCGAAAGUUACGCUAAUACCGCAUACGAUCUAUGGAUGAAAGCGGGGGAUCGCAAGACCUCGCGCGAUUGGAGCGGCCGAUAUCAGAUUAGGUAGUUGGUGGGGUAAAGGCUCACCUAGCCGACGAACUGUAGCUGGUCUGAGAGGACGACCAGCCACACUGGGACUGAGACACGGCCCAGACUCCUACGGGAGGCAGCAGUGGGGAAUUUUGGACAAUGGGCGAAAGCCUGAUCCAGCCAUGCCGCGUGCAGGAUGAAGGCCUUCGGGUUGUAAACUGCUUUUGUACGGAACGAAAAGGUUUGGCCUAAUAAGCUGAGCUCAUGACGGUACCGUAAGAAUAAGCACCGGCUAACUACGUGCCAGCAGCCGCCGUAA